RNAcentral lists this ribosomal RNA (434 nucleotides) under uncultured Lachnospiraceae bacterium. RNAcentral's name for it is "partial 16S ribosomal RNA". It matches the Rfam family "Bacterial small subunit ribosomal RNA", at positions 341 to 792 of the family's 1533-position model. Lineage: Bacteria; Bacillati; Bacillota; Clostridia; Lachnospirales; Lachnospiraceae. The record is from RNAcentral.
ACGGAAGGCAGCAGUGGGGAAUAUUGGACAAUGGGGGAAACCCUGAUCCAGCGACGCCGCGUGAGUGAAGAAGUAUUUCGGUAUGUAAAGCUCUAUCAGCAGGGAAGAUAAUGACGGUACCUGACUAAGAAGCCCCGGCUAACUACGUGCCAGCAGCCGCGGUAAUACGUAGGGGGCAAGCGUUAUCCGGAUUUACUGGGUGUAAAGGGUGCGUAGGUGGCAUGGUAAGUCAGAUGUGAAAUACCGGGGCUCAACCCCGGGGCUGCAUUUGAAACUGCCAGGCUGGAGUACAGGAGAGGCAAGCGGAAUUCCUAGUGUAGCGGUGAAAUGCGUAGAUAUUAGGAGGAACACCAGUGGCGAAGGCGGCUUGCUGGACUGUUACUGACACUGAGGCACGAAAGCGUGGGGAGCAAACAGGAUUAGAUACCCUGGUA